AGUCUAAUGAGGUGCAGCAAU
This 21-nucleotide unclassified non-coding RNA is filed under the name Mus musculus (house mouse). Its description in RNAcentral is "oocyte_clustered_small_RNA7404". Lineage: Eukaryota; Metazoa; Chordata; Mammalia; Rodentia; Muridae. The record is from RNAcentral.